UACGGGGGGGGCAAGCGUUGUUCGGAAUUACUGGGCGUAAAGGGCUCGUAGGCGGCCAACUAAGUCGGACGUGAAAUCCCUCGGCUUAACCGGGGAACUGCGUCCGAUACUGGAUGGCUUGAGGUUGGGAGAGGGAUGCGGAAUUCCAGGUGUAGCGGUGAAAUGCGUAGAUAUCUGGAGGAACACCGGUGGCGAAGGCGGCAUCCUGGACCAAUUCUGACGCUGAGUGAGCGAAAGCCAGGGGAGCAAACAGG
This 254-nucleotide ribosomal RNA is filed under the name uncultured bacterium. RNAcentral describes it as "partial 16S ribosomal RNA". It matches the Rfam family "Bacterial small subunit ribosomal RNA", at positions 524 to 776 of the family's 1533-position model. The record is from RNAcentral.